UUUCAAAAAAAUCGUCCAAGUUAUUUCUGAAGAAUUACCUUGACUGUUUAUAUACGUAACGGCUCAUGUAUAGUUGCUCAUAUUUUCAUUCUUAGCUGGUUAUACACCUGAUGCUUACACCAGUCUAACCAACUUAUACAGUCUAUGUUAAGCUGUUUUUACACCUUAGCUGUGCUUUCACCCAAUACUUCCACGGUUAGCUUACUCUGAAAUUCCUGUAUUUGAGUACUUAUACUGACUUUAAUCCACUGCUUCAAACUAUGACUUAUUAUGCUUCCUGUUAGCUGUGAUUUUCUUGGGGCGCUAUGCAGGCAUGCUUAUCUUGCGUCGUGCUUUUAAGACGCAAUAUUUAGGCAAGGAUACACGAAGUCUGUCAGAAAAAAGACCGUUGAAUAUGUGAAAUUAUAUCGCACAUUGCGAACAAUUCCACACCUGCAAUGAUAUGUCAAUGACUUGUGACUUGAGGACAUGAAAUUUAAAAUGUCCGGAGAUAAAUUAAUGUUUUCAAAGGUAAUUUAUGCGCCGGAUGAGCGUUUCCUGUAGAUAAUAAUGGAUCACUUUUAUCGCUCACCCAAUUUAAGUUGAUUCUUUUUUUCCCUCCGGCACUAGAGGCUAGUAAACCUCACUGCCUGUCUCCAAUCAGCUUAUAUUGAUAUUAUCUUAUGGAAGUUCACAUUAAUCAGUCUUCGAACACCAAUCAAUCAAGUUCCUUAAAUCAUUUACCGCCAAUAAAUUGUUUCUUAGAAAUAAUCCUCAAUAUCCUUUGACCUUUCCUGAAUAAAAUGGAAGGUCCGUGUUGAUAUUCCUAAGAGAAACGUGACUCAUUGCAGUUAAUUGAGGACGGUAAAGGGGCUCAAGAUCACGUUUCACGGAAAAUAAAUUGGUCCUUUCACAAUUCAUGGGAAAUAAAAUCGGCAUUUCACGUUUCCCGAAAAAAAGGCAUAUUUUGACGCGAACUAACGUAACUUACGAUAUUUGAAAGUUGCACCCAAGCACCGCCUUGUUAGAUGUCUUUAUCAUUCGUCCGCUUCUUGUUCUGCGCGCAGCAAAAAGAAAUCCGAGCAAGAACCCGAAGGGGGAUGAUUGUCCUGUCAGACACAGCCAGAAUCAUGGUUCACGAGGAAUUUAAUACUUCUUUUUCAUUUCACGGAGAAUUAUUUUGGAAAAUCACGGUUCACGGCUUCUAAUGAAAUCACAAUUCAUGAGGAAAAAAACAAGCCAUUUCACAUUUCACGAGAAAAAAAUUAGGCCAUUCACGGAUCACGAAAAUACCCUUUACCAACCUCUUUAUUUGCAGUGUUCGUAAAAUGACUUAAUUUUUAGAGGCUACAAAUCUAGCGACUUGUUUUCAACAGGACUUGGUGUUUACUUGAGUUUCUUUCAGUUAUUCGAUCUCUGUGUCCUUUGCUGGGUAAAGUUUUACUUAUUUUAUACAAAUUUCUGUUUUAAAUCCUUAAACAUGAGCUUUAGACGUAUGCGAGACUCGGCACACCGUGAGUUGGCCCGGGAUAGCGAGCCAAAGUGUUUCAGUAUGAGAAAAAAGUUGUCUCGCCUGCUUGGGCUAAUCUACCUGCUGAGGCUAGACAACUCGUGAAGCCCAGUUGUCUUGCUCCUAAGGACUCGUGAUCUUCAUUUUAAAGGUUGGCUGAAUUUUUCCAAGAAAUAAGUAAAACAUAAGCUUGAUGAGAGCAACUCAGGUGAGGGUUGUCACGGCUACCCAAGACCAUAUAAACAGGCCUAAACGAGUAAAUUGUUUAAAGAACUAUGAAUAGCGUUAAAGCUUGAAAGUUUAAAAACAGUGAGACGCCAUUAACGAUGCAACGCGUCGGAGGCCUCAUUGUCCCCGCGCUUACCGUUCCAUUAAAGACGAUCUAAUUUUAUGAGCAACCUCAAAAGCUACUGAACAAAACCGUCUAUAAAAGGAAUUAGAACUUAGAUAUUUUAAACCCAGCAUGCAAACAGUGACAAAAAUAAAACGUGUUAUCUUGCUAAACAGAGAAAUAUUUGACCAAUGUCAAUCGAAAAAGCACUGAUACCCAAGCUAGGCAGAGUAUCUGAGUUGUCAGUUAUCAAAGUCUCUGAAUGGGUUUGACAGAGCGAACACUCGACUGAAUACGUUGGGUCAUACCUUAAAGGAAAUCAAAUAGGUGAUUUGCCUUAAAUUAGUAUUUUAAAAUAACGACUCGUAAAACUCAAGACAUCCUGCAAGAUAUUUUCCACGUCAAAAAUCGAGUGUUUGGACUAUCAUUGCAAUCACGCAAUUCCCCUAAAUUCGUAAGUAAAAUUGUUUGAUAGAUCAAAUUUUGUGUUCUACUGCACAAAACCAGAAUCACUUGUUUCACAUAAUUUAGCGAAUAUCAGUAAGAGUUUUUGUUUUGCCGUAUAAUAUUGAAAAUCGACAAUUUUUUACAAAUUAUUUAACAUGGUAGUGUCACACGAACGUAGAACUUCGUCUUGGAGCGUCCGUUUCAACACACAACUCAGAGAAGUGCUGGCAAGAGACGCAAAAGCUGCUAUUGAGUAUGGUGUUCCUACUACAAAUUUGUGUAUAAUUACCAAAAUACACAGAAAAUAAUAUGUAUAAUUUUACCUGAAGAUCAAAUUCUGUCAGUCGAUUGUUCUAAGAUAAUGUCAGCGUUAGUGAAAACGUCUUCUAUAUAAAGCAUAAAGUUUGUUGGAGGCUUGCCUUCUUUUUAUAGACUACAUCAAUUCAUUAUAUUUCGUCUGCUUUUGGUAUUACAAAUCCUUGUUUACAACACUGAGCGCCUUCAUACCUCGUCGCCAUUUUGGCUACUGCAAGCAUUCUUUAAUAAUGAUUAAGAUUGCCAUCAAAAUAUUGCUGCCUGCUAUUCGCUGGUAAUGCGUUUGUUUACGUCAUCGAUGCACAGCUGCUCAUCGUUACAUCUACAGUAUAUUUCAAAUUCAGAUUCGUUUAAGUGAACACAAAUAGAACACAUGGCGUUAGCAAAGAUGUCUACAUACAAGACGCACAAAUUAUUUUCCAUAUCGCAAUUAGACCGCUAAACGAGCAAGCUAUAGUCUCAAACCAUUGUGUUCUCUCCGGCAAGCUUUCACAACAGGAAAUCAUUGAAUUACAUGGGCUGACUGUUCAGCAGUGUACAAAUUAAGGAUAAUACUGAUGUUUUCAUUAAACAUAAUUUUAUUAAUUUGCAACCUGGUCACGUUUCAACUCUAACUAAAAUAAUACAAAAUAAUAUUCUAUACUGGACUGAUUUUUGAUUCUGAUUCUGCCAAACGACUUUCUGAAUCUAACUGAACCAAUGGCGGGAGCGAGGUAGAAUAUUUUUCUUUCACGACGUAUUGCAUGCGUAGCUCUAAAAGGCCUUUUAUCCUAUUAGAGUUAGGAGAGCUAAUUGAACCGAUAGAAGACGGCAAAUUUAGGCUUUUCGCAUUAAAGUGACGCACUACUUACCUAAUAAUGCAAACCAAUCUUAAUGCAUACAACACAGUCUCAUGAAUCAGCAGGCAUAUUACUGAUACUCUUUAUUCCCGCAGUGACAUCGUUUUUAAUAGUAUUCAAAAAAUGAAAUUUAUUCAACCAAGCGAUUUUCAGCGGUUUAAUUUUUAGUUCUUUUAGUGUCGCAAUCAAGGGCUAAUCUAACUUGAGUUUAAAAGUGUUGUACCAUGGAAAAUGAUUCUUCUCUUAGUAGAUUUUCUUCUAUGUCCAAGCCAGAAGCUAAAUAUCCCCAUUCAUAAAAUCCCUUGGACCUAGGGAUGGUCGGUGGAGCCGAGGGAAAGUCGAAACGACUGGAAAAAUUGAAGAAGAAAAAAAUGGAGAGGAAGCAAGGACUUCAAAAUAGGAUGAUAAGCAAGACAUUAAUGCUGUUCAAGAUAAACCUACCUGUCUUACAUCUUGGUUUGCACCAAUUAUAUUCUGGUCCAUGGCCUGAGGUGGAGUCUUGAGCCCUUCCUUGAAUGCAAUGCUCAUCGAUCAUAGCAUCCUUAAAGGUAGUGACUCCUCGUCUUCAUUUGCGAGUGCUCCCCCAUUUUCUUCUGGCUCAUCAGAUCUCUAUGAGGAGAAAAAGAAAAAUCUUAUAAGUUCCUUUCCAGAUGACUGAAUGAUAAGACACCACGUGUACAUUUUCAUGGCCACUGACUAUUGACUUGCAAAAGAUAAACAGCUGACAACCCAAUGUCAGCUUCAAAAAAUUGCUCGUGGUAGCCACAAUCUUAUCUCUUACUUACACUGUAUCACUCAUUCAGUUAUUUAUCAGAAUUUAAGCAAACCAUUAAGCAUUAAGCAUUUAAGCAAAACAUUACCAUCUCUAUAUAGCUCAGUCAAUUGUUGUGUCAGACAAAGAAUUUUGUGGUGAACUACAUGUAUAACUAUGUAAUAUUCAUUGUAGUUUUAGUAAGAUCUAGUAUCUUAUAUUAUAUUUUUUGCUCAGAGACAUUUUAGUUCAAUAGUGCACCUAACCACUCAUAUGUUUUUUGCUGAAACGAAUCCACUUGUUAUUCGAAGAAUUUGGGCGAAGAAAUGUUUGAA
This 4507-nucleotide long non-coding RNA is filed under the name Orbicella faveolata. Its description in RNAcentral is "uncharacterized LOC110053688". Lineage: Eukaryota; Metazoa; Cnidaria; Anthozoa; Scleractinia; Merulinidae. The record is from RNAcentral.